RNAcentral lists this ribosomal RNA (468 nucleotides) under uncultured bacterium. RNAcentral describes it as "partial 16S ribosomal RNA". It matches the Rfam family "Bacterial small subunit ribosomal RNA", at positions 28 to 507 of the family's 1533-position model. The record is from RNAcentral.
GACGAACGCUGGCGGCGUGCUUAACACAUGCAAGUCGAACGGAAAGGCCCUGCUUUCGUGGGGUGCUCGAGUGGCGAACGGGUGAGUAACACUUGAGUAACCUGCCCUUGACUUUCGGCUAACUUCAGGAAACCGGGGCUCAUACCGGAUAGGAGCUCCUGCUGUUUGGUGGGGGUUGGAAAGUUUCGGCGGUUGGGGAUGGACUCGCGGCUUAUCAGCUUGUUGGUGGGGUAGUGGCUUACCAAGGCUUUGACGGGUAGCCGGCCUGAGAGGGUGACCGGCAACAUUGGGACUGAGAUACGGCACGGACUACUGCGGGAGGCAGCAGUGUGGAAGAAUGCACGAUGGGCGGAAGCCUGAUGCAGCAACGCCGCGUGCGGGGUGACGGCCUUCGGUUUGUAGGCGGUAUUCGCGUGUGACGGUGCGUGAGUGACGGUAACGGGUAAAGAAGCACCGGCUAAGUACGUG